RNAcentral lists this long non-coding RNA (203 nucleotides) under Physcomitrium patens. RNAcentral describes it as "long non-coding RNA (PPAT_LNC002101)". Lineage: Eukaryota; Viridiplantae; Streptophyta; Bryopsida; Funariales; Funariaceae. The record is from RNAcentral.
AGAUAUCAAAGCUAGUUUUUUCUUUGUUAAAGUAUGGAUUAUCCCUCUACUUGGAAGUGUACUAGUAUUUUAGAGAUUACAAAUUACCCUCCUCUAAACUGAUACUUCUUUUGUUACAAUAUUGGAGUCUUAUUCUUCUUGGAGAGAGUGGAUUACCCUUUUUCUUGAAGCUCUUAAGGCAUUUUAGAAGUUGCGGAGUACCC